This 468-nucleotide ribosomal RNA is filed under the name uncultured bacterium. Its description in RNAcentral is "partial 16S ribosomal RNA". It matches the Rfam family "Bacterial small subunit ribosomal RNA", at positions 28 to 507 of the family's 1533-position model. The record is from RNAcentral.
GACGAACGCUGGCGGCGUGCUUAAUACAUGCAAGUCGAACGGACAGGCCCUGCUCUUGCUGGUCGCUCGAGUGCCGAACAGGUGAGUAACACGUGAGUAACCUGCCCCUGUCAUUGUGAUAACUUCUGGAGACUGGGGCUAUUACCGCAUAUGAUCUCCUGCUGCAUGGGGGGGGAUGGAAAGAUUCGGCGGUUGGGGAUGGUAUCGCUGCUUAUCCGCUUGUUUGUGAGGUAGUGGCUUACCAAGGUUUUGACGGGUAGCCGGCCUGAGAGGGUUACCGGCGACAAGGGGACUGAGAGACGGCGCAGAAGGCUACGGGACGCAGCAGGGGAGAAUAUUACGCAAUGGGCGGAAGCGAGAGGCGGCAACGUUGGGUGCGGGAUAAUGGGCUUCGGGGUGUAAACCGAUGUCUCCGGUGAUGAAGCGUGAGUGACGGUAAUGGGUAAGGAAGCAACGGCUAACUACGUG